This 348-nucleotide unclassified non-coding RNA is filed under the name soil metagenome. Its description in RNAcentral is "partial contains 5.8S ribosomal RNA, internal transcribed spacer 2, and large subunit ribosomal RNA". The stretch from base 1 to 120 matches the Rfam family "5.8S ribosomal RNA", at positions 35 to 154 of the family's 154-position model. The record is from RNAcentral.
GAUGAAGAACGCAGUGAAAUGCGAUAAGUAAUGUGAAUUGCAGAAUUCAGUGAAUCAUCGAAUCUUUGAACGCACAUUGCGCCCGCCAGUAUUCUGGCGGGCAUGCCUGUCUGAGCGUCAUUUCAACCCUCAUGCCCCUAGGGCGUGGUGUUGGGGAUCGGCCAAAGCCCGCGAGGGACGGCCGGCCCCUAAAUCUAGUGGCGGACCCGUCGUGGCCUCCUCUGCGAAGUAGUGAUAUUCCGCAUCGGAGAGCGAUGAGCCCCUGCCGUUAAACCCCCAACUUUCCAAGGUUGACCUCAGAUCAGGCAGGAAUACCCGCUGAACUUAAGCAUAUCAAUAAGCGGAGGA